This 173-nucleotide ribosomal RNA is filed under the name Scinax brieni. Its description in RNAcentral is "partial 16S large subunit ribosomal RNA". Lineage: Eukaryota; Metazoa; Chordata; Amphibia; Anura; Hylidae. The record is from RNAcentral.
ACGUGAUCUGAGUUCAGACCGGAGUAAUCCAGGUCAGUUUCUAUCUAUAAAGAGCCUUUUCUAGUACGAAAGGACCGAAAAAGCAUGGCCAAUACUCGAUGCAAGCCAUCUCUAAUAAUUUAUGAUUAAAACUUAAUAAAUACUUUGUCUUCAAUAUACCUCAAGAAAAGAGA